RNAcentral lists this long non-coding RNA (273 nucleotides) under Bos taurus (domestic cattle). RNAcentral's name for it is "long non-coding RNA NONBTAT017412". The record is from RNAcentral. Lineage: Eukaryota; Metazoa; Chordata; Mammalia; Artiodactyla; Bovidae.
GCUUUUGUUUAAAGUUACACAGUUAUGCCUGGAUUAAAUAACAAUAGCAAAACUUGAGAAGCCCUCUGAAAAACAGCUGCUCAACAUACUGCUUUCUGGAAAGUAAUCAUUAAGAAUAAAUAUUCUCUUGUUCUAUACAAUUGCCGAAUGGUAGUGGAAAUUUCUUGUAGGCUACUUGAAUGUCAAUUGCACUGAAGUGGCCUCUAGACAUACCAGAUGAUUCGGGCCUCUUUGAUGAUCUGAAGGGAGCUACUUAAAUACACUUACAUAAAG